AGUGACGCGGGGCCAAGAGCGGGGGGAAUACGGAGGGGGAAAGGGUUAAGCGGAAUUACUGGGCGGAAAGCGCACGCAGGAGGUUGGAUAAGUUAGGUGUGAAAGCCCCGGGCUCAACCUGGGAAUUGCAUUUAAAACUGUCCAGCUAGAGUCUUGUAGAGGGGGGUAGAAUUCCAGGUGUAGCGGUGAAAUGCGUAGAGAUCUGGAGGAAUACCGGUGGCGAAGGCGGCCCCCUGGACAAAGACUGACGCUCAGGUGCGAAAGCGUGGGGAGCAAACAGGAUUAGAUACCCCGGUAGUC
Molecule: ribosomal RNA, 300 nt
Filed under: uncultured Bacteroides sp.
Lineage: Bacteria; Pseudomonadati; Bacteroidota; Bacteroidia; Bacteroidales; Bacteroidaceae
Description: bacterial SSU rRNA
Rfam family: Bacterial small subunit ribosomal RNA
Source: RNAcentral